RNAcentral lists this ribosomal RNA (250 nucleotides) under uncultured prokaryote. RNAcentral's name for it is "partial 16S ribosomal RNA". It matches the Rfam family "Bacterial small subunit ribosomal RNA", at positions 524 to 774 of the family's 1533-position model. The record is from RNAcentral.
UACGUAGGGGGCGAGCGUUAUCCGGAUUUAUUGGGCGUAAAGCGUGUGUAGGCGGUUUAUUAAGUCUAAGAUCAAAGCCUGAGGCUCAACCUCAGUUCGUCUUAGAAACUGGUAGACUUGAGUGUGGUAGAGGCAAGUGGAAUUUCUAGUGUAGCGGUUAAAUGCGUAGAUAUUAGAAGGAACACCAGUGGCGAAGGCGGCUUGCUGGGCCAUUACUGACGCUGAGACACGAAAGCGUGGGGAGCAAAUA